GCAGACACAUUCCAGCCAAUCAGCAGCAGACCCUCCCUCCCAGGCCCUCCCACCUCCUGGACAGCAUCCAUUUUACAUUCAUUGUGAAGCUGCAUUCUUAGUGAGCUGUCCAGGAGGUGGGAGGGUCUGGGAGGGAGGGUCUGCUGCUGAUUGGCUGGAAUGUGUCUG
Non-coding RNA from Pelobates cultripes (western spadefoot toad), 168 nucleotides. Lineage: Eukaryota; Metazoa; Chordata; Amphibia; Anura; Pelobatidae. The record is from the annotation of a GenBank genome assembly.